UAGAAAAUUUUUUGAGUUUUGAGUCCUUUUGUGAAAUUUUCUUUCUCCGACCAAAGCAGCCCCUCUGGCCUCUCAACGUCCAAAGCAGCCACACCUUAACCCUGACCCUCUUCUUCGACCAUCUCUGAUUCUCGAAUCCCAGUUUCCAUGGCGGCGAUCACAAGGAAUCCCACCGCUCUUCUUCUUCUUCCCCUCCAUUCUCCUCUUCGACAGUUUCAUCACUUCACUUCUUCCUCUUCGAUCACUCCCAGCUCCACCGCCGUCAGAUUCUCUCACUUCAACCUCACCAACAAGCCUUCCAAUCGUCAAAUCCUCCCUCUGGUCAAGGCCACCCAAGGCUCUCACGAUUAUGUGCCUGAUUCCAAAUUCUACAAAGUGGAGGCCAUCCUUAGUUGAUAGCUACCGAUCGGCACCGGCGAUUAGAGAAGAAGCAGCAGAAAAAAAAGAGUAACAAAGUUAUGAGAAGCAUUCAAGUGAAUCUGGCUUGGCAACUACCGGCAAGAAAAUCAAUAUAAAGAGUGCUGAUAUGUUUGGUGAUGCGCAGGAGGCUAUCGAUGUCGCCAUAAUUCGUAGAGAAGGAUAUAGCAGAGUGUAUUGACCAGCCUGGCACUGCAUUGUUGGCCAAAAAUUUGAUUUCAAAGAGUUGAGGAUAACAUCCGGUGAGACUUUGACUUUGGAGUUAUCUAAGAGUGUUGUGGUGCUUGGAGGAGAGUGUUGUUUCUCUUUCUUAUUAUUACAUAUACUUUAUGUUUUAUGAUUAAGGAUCAUAACUCAUAUUUUGUUAUCAAGUAUAUUGUGUUCAAAUGACUUUCAUUCAUGAAGUUGUUAGUGUUGUAAUAUUGAAAGUAUUUAUAUAGAAUUGUAAUUUUGGAAUUAUUCAUA
RNA transcript from Benincasa hispida (wax gourd), 882 nucleotides. It is a transcript of the gene named nitrogen regulatory protein P-II homolog, with no coding region annotated. Lineage: Eukaryota; Viridiplantae; Streptophyta; Magnoliopsida; Cucurbitales; Cucurbitaceae. The record is from RefSeq and is a predicted model, not a curated record.